RNAcentral lists this ribosomal RNA (286 nucleotides) under Staphylococcus pseudintermedius. Its description in RNAcentral is "partial 16S ribosomal RNA". It matches the Rfam family "Bacterial small subunit ribosomal RNA", at positions 276 to 554 of the family's 1533-position model. The record is from RNAcentral. Lineage: Bacteria; Bacillati; Bacillota; Bacilli; Caryophanales; Staphylococcaceae.
ACGAUACGUAGCCGACCUGAGAGGGUGAUCGGCCACACUGGAACUGAGACACGGUCCAGACUCCUACGGGAGGCAGCAGUAGGGAAUCUUCCGCAAUGGGCGAAAGCCUGACGGAGCAACGCCGCGUGAGUGAUGAAGGUCUUCGGAUCGUAAAGCUCUGUUGUUAGGGAAGAACAAAUGUGUAAGUAACUGUGCACAUCUUGACGGUACCUAACCAGAAAGCCACGGCUAACUACGUGCCAGCAGCCGCGGUAAUACGUAGGUGGCAAGCGUUAUCCGGAAUUAU